RNAcentral lists this ribosomal RNA (1022 nucleotides) under Salmonella enterica. Its description in RNAcentral is "partial 23S ribosomal RNA". It matches the Rfam family "Bacterial large subunit ribosomal RNA", at positions 711 to 1730 of the family's 2925-position model. The record is from RNAcentral. Lineage: Bacteria; Pseudomonadati; Pseudomonadota; Gammaproteobacteria; Enterobacterales; Enterobacteriaceae.
AGACCCGAAACCCGGUGAUCUAGCCAUGGGCAGGUUGAAGGUUGGGUAACACUAACUGGAGGACCGAACCGACUAAUGUUGAAAAAUUAGCGGAUGACCUGUGGCUGGGGGUGAAAGGCCAAUCAAACCGGGAGAUAGCUGGUUCUCCCCGAAAGCUAUUUAGGUAGCGCCUCGUGAAUUCAUCUCCGGGGGUAGAGCACUGUUUCGGCUAGGGGGCCAUCCCGGCUUACCAACCCGAUGCAAACUGCGAAUACCGGAGAAUGUUAUCACGGGAGACACACGGCGGGUGCUAACGUCCGUCGUGAAGAGGGAAACAACCCAGACCGCCAGCUAAGGUCCCAAAGUCAUGGUUAAGUGGGAAACGAUGUGGGAAGGCCCAGACAGCCAGGAUGUUGGCUUAGAAGCAGCCAUCAUUUAAAGAAAGCGUAAUAGCUCACUGGUCGAGUCGGCCUGCGCGGAAGAUGUAACGGGGCUAAACCAUGCACCGAAGCUGCGGCAGCGACGCUGAUGCGUUGUUGGGUAGGGGAGCGUUCUGUAAGCCUGCGAAGGUGGCCUGUGAGGGUUGCUGGAGGUAUCAGAAGUGCGAAUGCUGACAUAAGUAACGAUAAAGCGGGUGAAAAGCCCGCUCGCCGGAAGACCAAGGGUUCCUGUCCAACGUUAAUCGGGGCAGGGUGAGUCGACCCCUAAGGCGAGGCCGAAAGGCGUAGUCGAUGGGAAACGGGUUAAUAUUCCCGUACUUGGUGUUACUGCGAAGGGGGGACGGAGAAGGCUAUGUUGGCCGGGCGACGGUUGUCCCGGUUUAAGCGUGUAGGUGUGUGUUCCAGGUAAAUCCGGUUCACUUUAACACUGAGGCGUGACGACGAGGCACUACGGUGCUGAAGCAACAAAUGCCCUGCUUCCAGGAAAAGCCUCUAAGCAUCAGGUAACACGAAAUCGUACCCCAAACCGACACAGGUGGUCAGGUAGAGAAUACCAAGGCGCUUGAGAGAACUCGGGUGAAGGAACUAGGCAAAAUGGUGCCG